AGGAAUAUUGGUCAAUGGGCGAGAGCCUGAACCAGCCAAGUAGCGUGAAGGAUGACUGCCCUAUGGGUUGUAAACUUCUUUUAUAAAGGAAUAAAGUCGGGUAUGGAUACCCGUUUACAUGUACUUUAUGAAUAAGGAUCGGCUAACUCCGUGCCAGCAGCCGCGGUAAUACGGAGGAUCCGAGCGUUAUCCGGAUUUAUUGGGUUUAAAGGGAGCGUAGAUGGAUGUUUAAGUCAGUUGUGAAAGUUUGCGGCUCAACCGUAAAAUUGCAGUUGAUACUGGAUAUCUUGAGUGCAGUUGAGGCAGGCGGAAUUCGUGGUGUAGCGGUGAAAUGCUUAGAUAUCACGAAGAACUCCGAUUGCGAAGGCAGCCUGCUAAGCUGCAACUGACAUUGAGGCUCGAAAGUGUGGGUAUCAAACAGGAUUAGAUACCCUGGUAGUCCACACGGUAAACGAUGAAUACUCGCUGUUUGCGAUAUACUGCAAGCGGCCAAGCGAAAGCGUUAAGUAUUCCACCUGGGGAGUACGCCGGCAACGGUGAAACUCAAAGGAAUUGACGGGGGCCCGCACAAGCGGAGGAACAUGUGGUUUAAUUCGAUGAUACGCGAGGAACCUUACCCGGGCUUAAAUUGCAGAUGAAUUACGGUGAAAGCCGUAAGCCGCAAGGCAUCUGUGAAGGUGCUGCAUGGUUGUCGUCAGCUCGUGCCGUGAGGUGUCGGCUUAAGUGCCAUAACGAGCGCAACCCUUGUUGUCAGUUACUAACAGGUUCCGCUGAGGACUCUGACAAGACUGCCAUCGUAAGAUGUGAGGAAGGUGGGGAUGACGUCAAAUCAGCACGGCCCUUACGUCCGGGGCUACACACGUGUUACAAUGGGGGGUACAGAGGGCCGCUACCACGCGAGUGGAUGCCAAUCCCCAAAACCUCUCUCAGUUCGGACUGGAGUCUGCAACCCGACUCCACGAAGCUGGAUUCGCUAGUAAUCGCGCAUCAGCCACGGCGCGGUGAAUACGUUCCCG
RNAcentral lists this ribosomal RNA (1016 nucleotides) under uncultured bacterium. RNAcentral describes it as "bacterial SSU rRNA". It matches the Rfam family "Bacterial small subunit ribosomal RNA", at positions 357 to 1376 of the family's 1533-position model. The record is from RNAcentral.